CGAAGCGUGCGAUUGGAUUGCACGUCUAAGCAGUAAGGCUGAGUAUUAGGCAAAUCCGGUACUCGUUAAGGCUGAGCUGUGAUGGGGAGAAGACAUUGUGUCUUCGAGUCGUUGAUUUCACACUGCCGAGAAAAGCCUCUAGAUAGAAAAUAGGUGCCCGUACCGCAAACCGACACAGGUAGUCAAGAUGAGAAUUCUAAGGUGAGCGAGCGAACUCUCGUUAAGGAACUCGGCAAAAUGACCCCGUAACUUCGGGAGAAGGGGUGCUCUUUAGGGUUAACGCCCAGAAGAGCCGCAGUGAAUAGGCCCAAGCGACUGUUUAUCAAAAACACAGGUCUCUGCUAAACCGUAAGGUGAUGUAUAGGGGCUGACGCCUGCCCGGUGCUGGAAGGUUAAGAGGAGUGGUUAGCUUCUGCGAAGCUACGAAUCGAAGCCCCAGUAAACGGCGGCCGUAACUAUAACGGUCCUAAGGUAGCGAAAUUCCUUGUCGGGUAAGUUCCGACCCGCACGAAAGGCGUAACGAUUUGGGCACUGUCUCAACGAGAGACUCGGUGAAAUCAUAGUACCUGUGAAGAUGCAGGUUACCCGCGACAGGACGGAAAGACCCCGUGGAGCUUUACUGUAGCCUGAUAUUGAAAUUCGGCACAGCUUGUACAGGAUAGGUAGGAGCCUUUGAAACGUGAGCGCUAGCUUACGUGGAGGCGCUGGUGGGAUACUACCCUAGCUGUGUUGGCUUUCUAACCCGCACCACUUAUCGUGGUGGGAGACAGUGUCAGGCGGGCAGUUUGACUGGGGCGGUCGCCUCCUAAAAGGUAACGGAGGCGCUCAAAGGUUCCCUCAGAAUGGUUGGAAAUCAUUCAUAGAGUGUAAAGGCAUAAGGGAGCUUGACUGCGAGACCUACAAGUCGAGCAGGGUCGAAAGACGGACUUAGUGAUCCGGUGGUUCCGCAUGGAAGGGCCAUCGCUCAACGGAUAAAAGCUACCCCGGGGAUAACAGGCUUAUCUCCCCCAAGAGUUCACAUCGACGGGGAGGUUUGGCACCUCGAUGUCGGCUCAUCGCAUCCUGGGG
Molecule: ribosomal RNA, 1068 nt
Filed under: Staphylococcus aureus
Lineage: Bacteria; Bacillati; Bacillota; Bacilli; Caryophanales; Staphylococcaceae
Description: partial 23S ribosomal RNA
Rfam family: Bacterial large subunit ribosomal RNA
Source: RNAcentral